Molecule: long non-coding RNA, 273 nt
Filed under: Lathyrus oleraceus (garden pea)
Lineage: Eukaryota; Viridiplantae; Streptophyta; Magnoliopsida; Fabales; Fabaceae
Description: Pisum sativum (pea) long non-coding RNA (PSAT_LNC026307)
Source: RNAcentral
GCAUUCGAUUCUUGAUAAUAUUCAUAGCAGAGAAAGCUCUUUCAGCUGUUGCAGUUGCCACCGGUAAUAUCAGAGAUAACUUUAAAAGUAAAUAUACCAACGGGUACACAACAUGUUUUUUGCUCUCUACGAGCUUGAUAGAAAGAUCACCAAUCCCCUCUAAUUUUGAAAAUUCACUGUCAGAGCAUACAUCUAAGAAAUAGUUUUCAAGCUGACAAUCUAGUAUCAAUAAUUCAACUUGAGAAAACUCUGAAGGAUAAAAUUGAGCUAAAC